CGCAGGCGGGAAGACAAGUUGGAAGUGAAAACCAUGGGCUCAACCCAUGAAUUGCUUUCAAAACUGUUUUUCUUGAGUAGUGCAGAGGUAGAUGGAAUUCCCGGUGUAGCGGUGGAAUGCGUAGAUAUCGGGAGGAACACCAGUGGCGAAGGCGGCUCUCUGGUCUGUAACUGACGCUGAGGCUCGAAAGCGUGGGGAGCAAACA
This 205-nucleotide ribosomal RNA is filed under the name uncultured bacterium. Its description in RNAcentral is "partial 16S ribosomal RNA". It matches the Rfam family "Bacterial small subunit ribosomal RNA", at positions 570 to 774 of the family's 1533-position model. The record is from RNAcentral.